UGACUGUUAUUCAAGUAACUGUCAUUUUUAACUGUUUUCUGUUCUUUCUGUGUUUAUGAAGGAGAAUGGCUGAUGAAAGAGUUUUCCCUGGAUGCUGCAGAGGACGGCUAUAUUUAUAGGAUGACUGUAAGCCAUAGAAAGAGAGAUUUACUGUCAUCGUCAAUGACAGUACCUGGCAAGCCCUAUUGAUGUUACAUAUCUAAGCAAAGACCAAACUAAUUGUGGAAAAACACACAUCUUUAUCUAGGUCAUUAAUACAUCAAGCGAAACUCCAUAAAUAUGGUCUCAUUCGGUGGCUUGGGAUCUCUGUUAGUACUCUUAUGAUCUCCGAAGGCCUCUUUGGAUUUGACACACCAAGGCAGUAUUUAUGCCUCUUUGGCAUAUCCUUAAUAUUUCAAUGGUGACAUUGUCCUUAUAGUCCUUCGAGUUCCCUCCCCGCCAUAAAAGGGAAGCAGGUCCCAAAGCUAAACGAAAUGUAUGAGGACUACAGACAUGAAGCAGACACACAUCAGGUGCAGCAGGGCGCCUGCUUUGCGUCAGCUUUCUACCUACUGCCUUUCAAACAGGCAGCAAGACAAUCCUUCAUUUUACCUGUUUGGAUGCUGAACAGGCCUCCUUUCAUACAGCAGACAUUAACCAGUGAAGGUGUACAGGUGUUCUCCAGAAACGUUUGGACCAGGGACGUUUGGAAACUUGCUCGUUAUUUGGCAAUCAGAGCACAAACAUGCAAUUUAUCCCCCUGCCUACCUAUAUUCCACUCCUCAGUCAGGUGCAGGCUACUUUGACAUUUACGGGACGGGUCAUGGUUCUGCCAAAAUCCCAUUCCAGUGGUAGAGACUGAGAUGGAGCUACAGGCUGCGACUGUGAAGAGAAAAGAGAAAAGAUGUGGCGGCCAUUUUUGUGUUACCUCACACAACUUGCAGCAGCCAUUUGGUGACUA
Podarcis muralis (Common wall lizard) is the source of this 940-nucleotide non-coding RNA. The record is from RefSeq and is a predicted model, not a curated record. Lineage: Eukaryota; Metazoa; Chordata; Lepidosauria; Squamata; Lacertidae.